RNAcentral lists this ribosomal RNA (292 nucleotides) under uncultured bacterium. RNAcentral's name for it is "partial 16S ribosomal RNA". It matches the Rfam family "Bacterial small subunit ribosomal RNA", at positions 505 to 796 of the family's 1533-position model. The record is from RNAcentral.
GUGCCAGCCGCCGCGGUAAUACGUAGGGACCAAGCGUUGUUCGGAUUUACUGGGCGUAAAGGGCGCGUAGGCGGCAUUGUUAGUCACUUGUGAAAUCUCCGGGCUUAACUCGGAAUGGCCAAGUGAUACUGCAGUGCUAGAGUGCAGAAGGGGCAAUCGGAAUUCUUGGUGUAGCGGUGAAAUGCGUAGAUAUCAAGAGGAACACCUGAGGUGAAGACGGGUUGCUGGGCUGACACUGACGCUGAGGCGCGAAAGCCAGGGGAGCAAACGGGAUUAGAAACCCGCGUAGUCC